GUAGCCUCCCUCCCUCCUUGUUUCCUUACCUAAAUUCUGCAAUUUAUUGUCAGGUCAGUACAAUAAAAUUAAAGUUAUCCUUUUCAAAAUGUAUACUACUAGUAUUAUAAUGAUAUUUUUAUUCUAUGCAAAUAUAUAUAAUAGGGACUGCUUUGCCACGGAUUAUUUGGGGUGAGAUGGAAGAACCCUAGACAAUUACUUUCUUUUCUCACCUAUUGUUUUCAGAUUAUUUUCAAAGGUAGGUAAUUUUUCUCCAGAGAAGCAUCUGGGGAAAGAAUCAGGAUGCAUUGACUUCAUUGAAGGCUUAAUCAUGAUUGAUAUGGAGAAAAUGGAAUCAAACUACUUAGAACAAGUGGGCAGAUCUUCAUAACCUUCUAGUGUUCAAAUUCUGGGCUGCACCUGGCUUGAAACCUUUUUAAUCACCUCUGUUCCUAGAUUUUGGUUAUGAGACUUUCUUCAGUGUAAUUAAUGUUUGUGACAUGUUAAUGGACAAAUCAUUAUAUAAAUGCUAAGUUCUAAAGCCUGAGAAGAACACAUUUAUUUCCUGUCUUAUCUCCUGAUUUUUGACAUUUGUUUUCAAGGCUACUGAGGUUAUCAACAAAUUUGUAGUGAAAUUCCAUCAUCUUGCAGUGGAUCGUCUCUUCAUAGAGAAAAUCCAGUGGUUUCUAACAAAUCUACAAUUGAAAAUCAAUUCAGAGAUCAUGUCCACACUGGGGGCACCAUUAUCUAUAAUGUGAACAAUGUACUGCCGGUAUGUUUCUCACAGUGCAGUCUUGUGGGAAUGCAGAGCUGUUCCCUGCAUGAUGGGGUUACCCUCCAAGUUCUCCCACAGCCUCCCCAGCAUGACUGCUCAUUCCCGGAGCUUUCAAUGUGGAGGGAUGCAUGCCUGAAGGACAGCAGAGGUCAAAACACUGAGCAGAGCCAUCGUGGCAGGUAUUGUGGGAUACAGGCAGAAGCUAGUUUGCAGAGUCUACAAUGGCUCUUUAUCCACAAUAAAAGGAGGGGGGCAGGAAAAGUCUCUCAUAGGGGUGGAAGUUUUGUCACCGAAACAAUGUUUUUCCAGACAAAAGUUGCAUUUCAAUGUGAAUGCAGUCAAAAGGCAGUUUCAGUGACGAAACUUGGUAGUGUAGACAUACCCUUAGUCUACUAUUGCCAGCUUUCUCCUCACACAAAACUGAACACCCCUGCUUAGCGAUUCCUUUUGUGCCCCACCCAUGCCAUACCCCUUCUCUGAGGUCUCACCCUCCCCCCGCUUAGUCAGUCUCCGCUCUAUGCUGCUCACUCUCCACACCCUCAGUCAUUUUCACUGGGCUCAGUUGCAGGAGGGGAUGAAGGCUCCAGCUGGGAGUGCAGGGUCGAGGGUGGGGUCAGAAAUGAAGGGUUCUUCUUCGGGUAGUGUCCCCGUGGGUGCUUCACUGUGGGUGGCGGGCUUGUCCCAGGGCCGCAGU
Non-coding RNA from Pelodiscus sinensis (Chinese soft-shelled turtle), 1448 nucleotides. The record is from RefSeq and is a predicted model, not a curated record. Lineage: Eukaryota; Metazoa; Chordata; Testudines; Trionychidae.